This 125-nucleotide microRNA precursor is filed under the name Hordeum vulgare. RNAcentral's name for it is "microRNA MIR1122". It matches the Rfam family "MIR1120/MIR1122 microRNA precursor family". The record is from RNAcentral. Lineage: Eukaryota; Viridiplantae; Streptophyta; Magnoliopsida; Poales; Poaceae.
AAAGUACUCCAUUCGUCCGAAAAUACAUGUAAUAGAAAUAAAUAUAUCUAGAUGUACUUUAGUUCUAGAUACAUAUAUUUUUAUCAAUUUGUGUGAGAAGUAAUUCCGGACGGAGGGAGUACUCC